RNAcentral lists this long non-coding RNA (291 nucleotides) under Gossypium barbadense (sea-island cotton). RNAcentral describes it as "long non-coding RNA (GBAR_LNC017482)". The record is from RNAcentral. Lineage: Eukaryota; Viridiplantae; Streptophyta; Magnoliopsida; Malvales; Malvaceae.
AACUUUCACUUACUUGUUGAUUUCUGUCACGAAUACCUUGCUUUCGUUGUACCAUCACUUAUAACCAUGUUUCAUCCACUUUUCCCUUUGAACCAUUUGCAAUACUAAAGGAUACUCGGGGAUGUCGUACACAUAGUACUGUUACAAUGUCAUAUCCUAGAUAUGGUCUUACAUGUAAUCUCUUAUCAAUGCCAAAAGCCCAGCCAUGGUCUUACACAAAAUCACAUAUCGAUACCAAUGUCCUAGAUAUGGUCUUACACGAAUUCUCAUAUCGAUGCCAUUGUCCUAGAC